GGGUCAGUAGGUUGGUCGUGCCACCGGUACGUACUGGUCUCACUGAUUCCUCCUUCCUGAAGAACCGUAAUGCCAUUAAUUUGGUGUUGCGGGGAAACAGGACUGUUACUUUGAAAAAAUUAGAGUGUUUAAAGCAAGCUAACGCUUGAAUACAUGAGCAUGGAAUAAUGAAAUAGGACGAUCGAUCCUAUUUUGUUGUUUUCUAGGAUUGACGUA
This 216-nucleotide ribosomal RNA is filed under the name Glomeromycotina sp. RNAcentral describes it as "partial small subunit ribosomal RNA". The stretch from base 40 to 216 matches the Rfam family "Eukaryotic small subunit ribosomal RNA", at positions 686 to 864 of the family's 1831-position model. Lineage: Eukaryota; Fungi; Glomeromycota. The record is from RNAcentral.